RNAcentral lists this ribosomal RNA (853 nucleotides) under uncultured Oscillatoriales cyanobacterium. Its description in RNAcentral is "bacterial SSU rRNA". It matches the Rfam family "Bacterial small subunit ribosomal RNA", at positions 8 to 918 of the family's 1533-position model. The record is from RNAcentral. Lineage: Bacteria; Bacillati; Cyanobacteriota; Cyanophyceae; Oscillatoriales.
AGAGUUUGAUUCUGGCUCAGAUGAACGCUGGCGGUCUGCUUAACACAUGCAAGUCGAACGGAGUUCGUAGAACUUAGUGGCGGACGGGUGAGUAACGCGUGAGAAUCUACCUUCAGGAGGGGAUAACAGUGGGAAACUGCUGCUAAGACCCGAUAGCCCCAAGCGGGAAAGAUUUAUCGCCUGAAGAUGAGCUCGCGUCCGAUUAGUUAGUUGGUGGGUAAAGGCCUACCAAGACAGCGAUCGGUAGCUGGUCUGAGAGGACGACAGCCACACUGGGACUGAGACACGGCCCAGACUCCUACGGGAGGCAGCAGGGGGAAUUUUCCGCAAUGGGCGAAAGCCUGACGGAGCAAGACCGCGUGAGGAAGAAGGCCCUUGGGUUGUAAACCUCUUUUCUCAAGGAAGAAGAAAGGACGGUACUUGAGGAAUGAGCAUCGGCUAACUCCGUGCCAGCAGCCGCGUAAGACGGAGGAUGCAAGCGUUAUCCGGAAUUAUUGGGCGUAAAGGGUCGCAGGUGGUUUCUCAAGUCGGCAGUCAAAGACCGGAGCUUAACUUCGGAAGGCUGUGGAAACUGAGAGACUAGAGAGAGGUAGGGGUAAGGGGAAUUCCGGUGUAGCGGUGAAAUGCGUAGAGCUCGGGAAGAACACCGGUGGCGAAGCGCCUUACUGGACCUCAUCUGACACUCAGGGACGAAAGCUAGGGGAGCAAAGGGAUUAGAUACCCCUGUAGUCCUAGCCGUAAACGAUGGAAACUAGCGUAGCCUGGACCGACCCGGGCUGUGCCGGAGCUAACGCGUUAAGUUUCCGCCUGGGGAGUACGCACGCAAGUGUGAAACUCAAAUGAAUUGACGGGG